Molecule: ribosomal RNA, 253 nt
Filed under: uncultured bacterium
Lineage: Bacteria
Description: partial 16S ribosomal RNA
Rfam family: Bacterial small subunit ribosomal RNA
Source: RNAcentral
UACGUAGGGUGCAAGCGUUAAUCGGAAUUACUGGGCGUAAAGCGUGCGCAGGCGGUUGUGUAAGACAGAUGUGAAAUCCCCGGGCUCAACCUGGGAACUGCAUUUGUGACUGCACGGCUGGAGUGCGGCAGAGGGGGAUGGAAUUCCGCGUGUAGCAGUGAAAUGCGUAGAUAUGCGGAGGAACACCGAUGGCGAAGGCAGGUCUCUGGGCUGACACUGACGCUCAUGCACGAAAGCGUGGGGAGCAAACAGG